UAAGGAAUAUUGCUCAAUGGGAGAAAUCCUGAAGCAGCAACGCCGCGUGGAGGAUGAAGGGUCUAUGACUUGUAAACUCCUGUAAAGAAGGAAAAAAUUCCCAUUAGAUGGGAGAUGAUGGUACUUCUGGAGUAAGCCCCGGCUAACUACGUGCCAGCAGCCGCGGUAAUACGUAGGGGGCAAGCGUUGUCCGGAUUUACUGGGUGUAAAGGGUGCUCAGGCGGAUUUGUAAGUCAGAGGUGAAAUCUUACAGCUUAACUGUGAAACUGCCUUUGAUACUGCAAGCCUAGAGUAUGGAAGAGAGCGAUGGAAUAUCUGGUGUAGCAGUGAAAUGCGUAGAUAUCAGAUAGAACACCAAUGGCGAAGGCAGUCACUUGGUCCAUUACUGACGCUAAAGCACGAAAGCGUGGGUAGCAAACA
Molecule: ribosomal RNA, 420 nt
Filed under: uncultured bacterium
Lineage: Bacteria
Description: bacterial SSU rRNA
Rfam family: Bacterial small subunit ribosomal RNA
Source: RNAcentral